Molecule: ribosomal RNA, 789 nt
Filed under: Triticum aestivum (bread wheat)
Lineage: Eukaryota; Viridiplantae; Streptophyta; Magnoliopsida; Poales; Poaceae
Description: partial small subunit ribosomal RNA
Source: RNAcentral
AUGGCGCUCAUGCUGCGGCGACCCGGAGAUCCUCCUCACGACAUGGUCAAUGCCCGAUAUGACCAAUCAAAGAUCGUUUUGCACUGGUUGCUCCUUGGAAAGAAUCUAGAUGAUGGACUCUUGAUUAUGGACUAUGACACUGACACAUUGCACAUGGCAGCGGUUGUUCCAAAGUUUCAGUAUUUUAAGUUGUUUGUGGACCACAAAGAUAUGACAUUUGACAAUGUAAUUGAAGGCAACAACAAUGAAGGGAGUAACAGUGUUCCACCAAUGGCCCAAAGUGUUGGAUAUGAGCUGAGAAGAAGCAGAAGAAAACUUGUGGUAGAAGAAGAAACCUCCAAUGAAAAUGACUGUGACAGUGACGACGGUGAAUGGGAUUCAGACUGGGUUGACUCUGGCAAUGAAGUAGAAAAAAGAAGAGAUCUAAAUGGCAGAAGGACAAUAACUAUGAUUCGGAUGAGUUGCAAGCGCUGCAAGAUUCAAAGCUUGAAGAUAGUGAUUCAGCAAAAUUGUCCCUGGUUCCUGUUUGCUGCACCUGAUAGUAGGACCAAAGCAUGGGUUGUGAAGACAUAUGUGGGACAAUAUACAUGUGAAAGAGAAUGGGCACUGAAGCAAUUCACAACAAGAUAUCUAGCUGGCAAGUAUUUGGAGACAUUUAGAGCAGAUGAGAAGAUGUCAUUAAAGAACUUUGUCAGGCUUGUUCAGUUUGAUUACAAUAUGCUUCCUACUAGAAGCAAGAUAGCAAGAGCAAGAAGGAUUGCACUAAAGCAAAUUAUGGAGAUGAACUAG